This 253-nucleotide ribosomal RNA is filed under the name uncultured bacterium. RNAcentral's name for it is "partial 16S ribosomal RNA". It matches the Rfam family "Bacterial small subunit ribosomal RNA", at positions 524 to 776 of the family's 1533-position model. The record is from RNAcentral.
UACAGAGACUGCAAGCGUUGUUCGGAAUUACUGGGCGUAAAGGGUUCGUAGGUGGCUUGUUAAGUCAGACGUGAAAUCCCUCGGCUCAACCGGGGAACUGCGUCUGAGACUGAUGAGCUCGAGUGCAGGAGAGGAACGCGGAAUUCCAGGUGUAGCGGUGAAAUGCGUAGAUAUCCUGAGGAACACCGGUGGCGAAAGCGGCGCGCUGGAUCCCUUCUGACGCUGAGGCGCGAAAGCCAGGGGAGCAAACGGG